GAUGAACGCUGGCGGCGUGCUUAACACAUGCAAGUCGAACGAGAAAUGGAGACGGAACCCUUCGGGCGGAAGGCUUCAUUUCGAGUGGCGGACGGGUGAGUAACGCGUGGGUAACCUGCCUCAUACAGGGGGAUAACAGUUGGAAACGACUGUUAAUACCGCAUAAGACCACAGCACCGCAUGGUGCGGGGGUAAAAACUCCGGUGGUUUGAGAUGGACCCGCGUUCGAUUAGCCAGUUGGCGGGGUAACGGCCCACCAAAGCGACGAUCGAUAGCCGAUCUGAGAGGAUGACCGGCCACAUUGGGACUGAGACACGGCCCAAACUCCUACGGGAGGCAGCAGUGGGGAAUAUUGCACAAUGGGGGAAACCCUGAUGCAGCGACGCCGCGUGAGUGAAGAAGUACUUCGGUAUGUAAAGCUCUAUCAGCAGGGAAGAAAAUGACGGUACCUGAGUAAGAAGCCCCGGCUAACUACGUG
RNAcentral lists this ribosomal RNA (478 nucleotides) under uncultured bacterium. Its description in RNAcentral is "partial 16S ribosomal RNA". It matches the Rfam family "Bacterial small subunit ribosomal RNA", at positions 28 to 507 of the family's 1533-position model. The record is from RNAcentral.